AAAUUGAAGAGUUUGAUCAUGGCUCAGAUUGAACGCUGGCGGCAGGCCUAACACAUGCAAGUCGAACGGUAGCACAGAGAGCUUGCUCUCGGGUGACGAGUGGCGGACGGGUGAGUAAUGUCUGGGAAACUGCCUGAUGGAGGGGGAUAACUACUGGAAACGGUGGCUAAUACCGCAUAACGUCGAAAGACCAAAGAGGGGGACCUUCGGGCCUCUUGCCAUCAGAUGUGCCCAGAUGGGAUUAGCU
This 247-nucleotide ribosomal RNA is filed under the name Salmonella enterica. Its description in RNAcentral is "partial 16S ribosomal RNA". It matches the Rfam family "Bacterial small subunit ribosomal RNA", at positions 1 to 246 of the family's 1533-position model. The record is from RNAcentral. Lineage: Bacteria; Pseudomonadati; Pseudomonadota; Gammaproteobacteria; Enterobacterales; Enterobacteriaceae. RNAcentral also lists the same sequence under 6 other names.